GAUGAACGCUGGCGGCGUGCUUAACACAUGCAAGUCGAACGGAAAGGCUCCUGCUUGCAGGGGUACUCGAGUGGCGAACGGGUGAGUAACACGUGGGUGAUCUGCCCUGCACUUCGGGAUAAGCCUGGGAAACUGGGUCUAAUACCGGAUAGGACCACAUUUUGGAUGGUGUGGUGGGAAGUUUUUCGGUGUGGGAUGAGCUCGCGGCCUAUCAGCUUGUUGGUGGGGUAAUGGCCUACCAAGGCGUCGACGGGUAGCCGGCCUGAGAGGGUGUACGGCCACAUUGGGACUGAGAUACGGCCCAGACUCCUACGGGAGGCAGCAGUGGGGAAUAUUGCACAAUGGGCGCAAGCCUGAUGCAGCGACGCCGCGUGGGGGAUGACGGCCUUCGGGUUGUAAACUCCUUUCGCUAGGGACGAAGCGCAAGUGACGGUACCUGGAGAAGAAGCACCGGCUAACUACGUG
RNAcentral lists this ribosomal RNA (465 nucleotides) under uncultured bacterium. RNAcentral's name for it is "partial 16S ribosomal RNA". It matches the Rfam family "Bacterial small subunit ribosomal RNA", at positions 28 to 507 of the family's 1533-position model. The record is from RNAcentral.